GGACGGGUGAGUAACACGUGGGCAACCUGCCUGUAAGACUGGGAUAACUUCGGGAAACCGGAGCUAAUACCGGAUAAUUCUUUCCCUCACAUGAGGGAAAGCUGAAAGAUGGUUUCGGCUAUCACUUACAGAUGGGCCCGCGGCGCAUUAGCUAGUUGGUGAGGUAACGGCUCACCAAGGCAACGAUGCGUAGCCGACCUGAGAGGGUGAUCGGCCACACUGGGACUGAGACACGGCCCAGACUCCUACGGGAGGCAGCAGUAGGGAAUCUUCCGCAAUGGACGAAAGUCUGACGGAGCAACGCCGCGUGAGUGAUGAAGGUUUUCGGAUCGUAAAACUCUGUUGUUAGGGAAGAACAAGUACCGGAGUAACUGCCGGUACCUUGACGGUACCUAACCAGAAAGCCACGGCUAACUACGUGCCAGCAGCCGCGGUAAUACGUAGGUGGCAAGCGUUGUCCGGAAUUAUUGGGCGUAAAGCGCGCGCAGGCGGUUCCUUAA
RNAcentral lists this ribosomal RNA (500 nucleotides) under Cytobacillus oceanisediminis. Its description in RNAcentral is "bacterial SSU rRNA". It matches the Rfam family "Bacterial small subunit ribosomal RNA", at positions 100 to 586 of the family's 1533-position model. Lineage: Bacteria; Bacillati; Bacillota; Bacilli; Caryophanales; Bacillaceae. The record is from RNAcentral.